Small RNA from Brucella melitensis, 128 nucleotides. It matches the Rfam family "Brucella sRNA 0626". The record is from Rfam. Lineage: Bacteria; Pseudomonadati; Pseudomonadota; Alphaproteobacteria; Hyphomicrobiales; Brucellaceae.
UUCCUUCAUUGGCAGAAAAAAUCGAAAACGGUAGCAUUCAAAAUGAAAACAUCCGAAAGCGAAGCGAUAAUAAUUGGGGAGAACGUGUGAAUAAUAUGCGGGCAACCCGCGUGCCUUCUGAUUCCCCC